Molecule: long non-coding RNA, 808 nt
Filed under: Coffea arabica (coffee)
Lineage: Eukaryota; Viridiplantae; Streptophyta; Magnoliopsida; Gentianales; Rubiaceae
Description: long non-coding RNA (CARA_LNC005126)
Source: RNAcentral
UUCGGGCAGAGUUGACACGGAACAGCAGUCCCCUUGGACAGCCGAACAGAAUUCACGUGGGUCGCAUGGCCAGAAAUGACAUCUCCAAUGUUAAUGUCUUGAUAACUAAUUUACUGCAGCUAGCUAACAUUGGUGGGCAUCACUUUCUCAUGACGUACCGUUUGAUUGGCGAGAAGCACUACCGAAUCUUUAGUCAGGGGCUGAAUGUUUAGAGUUUUCCCGAUUUUUAGGACCAGAAUUUUCAAGAUUUUAUUUCCAUUGUGUCCAUAAUUUUUCACUACUAGUUGAACUUACAAAAGUUGAGUUCCCAACUUACAAAAGCAAAACUAAAAGUUGGUACAACUAAACUACAGCAAAAGAUUCCGACAAGACCCGGCCCUUCCUAUUCACUUGCCCAGGUACUCGCCUCUAUAAGGAAAACAAAUCUAAACGGUGAGCUUUCGUCCCAUGAGGUUCCAAGAAAGUCAUGCAACAAUAAUAUCAUAUUCAUGCGACAUAACCAUAGAUCACAACCAUAAUGCAAGUUCACAUUGGGUACUCGACAAUUAAGAAAUUACAUUGCCAUAUAAAAGGAUACGGGGCGUUCAAGAGCAUAUUCAACCAAUUUGAUCAGAAUUCCGCUGACACUCCAUCAACAUUUUUUUCAAAAUACUACUCCCUCCGUCCCGAAAUGAAUGUCGCACUUCGGGUCUUGAGUUUCUUUUCAACAGUGUCGCAUUUUGGUCUAAGUUCCAGCGCUACCCCUUCGGUGCGUUACUCCAUUGAGUGGCAGAAAGAAAAAGCAAGGAUGACAAGAUGUGUGGGACCC